Molecule: long non-coding RNA, 549 nt
Organism: Amphiprion ocellaris (clown anemonefish)
Lineage: Eukaryota; Metazoa; Chordata; Actinopteri; Pomacentridae
Source: Ensembl
GAUAUAUGGUCGGCACGUCUGGUAGCAUCUCUGGCUGCUGUUGACCUUGUUUUUGGGAUAAAACACAGUGGAAGCUGAAUUAGUGAGGAUGACUCCUGCUCCUGUCAUCUCUAAGCUCCUCACACAUCUUUACCUGCACAUGAGGAAAAUCACUCCUGUAGAAUGCAGAUGCACAAUGAGGGACGUCUGCAGAGACUGAGAAAGAGUCUCACCACAUCCUGACAUGAGGAAAAAGACUUUAUUGAAGACUACAAUGAGAAAAACUAUCAGACAGCAGACAGCUGCAUUCAAGUCUGUAGCUGCUGAAUUCAUGGAUGAAUCAUCUGGCACUAGAGAAGAAGACCAUCAAACAUCCACGUCAGCUGAUGGAGGUCCAAGAGUCUCACCAAACAAACAACCUACAGAGUGAAGACCUCAAAUCUGAUUGGACGGCUUCCUAUUCAGCCACGUGUGAACAAAUGCCUCUAAGCUGAUUUGUUUUCUAAAAUAAAUCUAGUUUGAGUCCUAAUCUAUGCCUGUGUGUUUGCUUUUUUACACUGCUGUUAACAG